Molecule: ribosomal RNA, 269 nt
Filed under: uncultured prokaryote
Description: partial 16S ribosomal RNA
Rfam family: Bacterial small subunit ribosomal RNA
Source: RNAcentral
UACGGAGGAUCCGAGCGUUAUCCGGAUUUAUUGGGUUUAAAGGGUGCGCAGGCGGGAGAUUAAGUCGGCGGUGAAAUUUUGCAGCUCAACUGUAAAAGUGCCUUCGAAACUGGUUUUCUUGAGUGUAGAUGAAGUAGGCGGAAUUUGUGGUGUAGCGGUGAAAUGCAUAGAUAUCACGAGGAACUCCGAUUGCGCAGGCAGCUUACUAAACCAUAACUGACGCUCAGGCACGAAGGCGUGGGGAUCAAACAGGAUUAGAUACCCCUGUA